This 1329-nucleotide ribosomal RNA is filed under the name uncultured bacterium. RNAcentral describes it as "partial 16S ribosomal RNA". It matches the Rfam family "Bacterial small subunit ribosomal RNA", at positions 50 to 1409 of the family's 1533-position model. The record is from RNAcentral.
AACACAUGCAAGACGAGCGAUUUACUUCGGUAAAGAGCGGCGGACGGGUGAGUAACGCGUGGGUAACCUGCCCUGUACACACGGAUAACAUACCGAAAGGUAUGCUAAUACGGGAUAAUAUGCUUUUAUCGCAUGGUAGAAGUAUCAAAGCUCCGGCGGUACAGGAUGGACCCGCGUCUGAUUAGCUAGUUGGUAAGGUAACGGCUUACCAAGGCGACGAUCAGUACCCGACCUGAGAGGGUGAUCGGCCACAUUGGAACUGAGACACGGUCCAAACUCCUACGGGAGGCAGCAGUGGGGAAUAUUGCACAAUGGGCGAAAGCCUGAUGCAGCAACGCCGCGUGAGCGAUGAAGGCCUUCGGGUCGUAAAGCUCUGUCCUCAAGGAAGAUAAUGACGGUACUUGAGGAGGAAGCCCCGGCUAACUACGUGCCAGCACCCGCGGUAAUACGUAGGGGGCUAGCGUUAUCCGGAAUUACUGGGCGUAAAGGGUGCGUAGGUGGUUUCUUAAGUCAGAGGUGAAAGGCUACGGCUCAACCGUAGUAAGCCUCUGAAACUGGGAAACUUGAGUGCAGGAGAGGAGAGUGGAAUUCCUAGUGUAGCGGUGAAAUGCGUAGAUAUUAGGAGGAACACCAGUUGCGAAGGCGGCUCUCUGGACUGUAACUGACACUGAGGCACGAAAGCGUGGGGAGCAAACCGGAUUAAUUCCCCUGGUUGUCCCCGCGUUAAACGAUGAUUCUAGCUGUCGGAGGUUACCCCCUUCGGUGGCGCAGCUACCCCUUAACUUUUCCGCCUGGGAAGUACGCUCGCAAGAGUGAAAACUCAAAGGAAAUUGACGGGGACCCGCCCAAGUAGCGGUGCAUGUGGUUUAUUCGAAGCAACGCGAAGAACCUUACCUAAGCUUGACAUCCUUUUGACCGAUGCCUAAUCGUAUCUUUCCCUUCGGGGACAGAAGUGACAGGUGGUGCAUGGUUGUCGUCAGCUCGUGUCGUGAGAUGUUGGGUUAAGUCCCGCAACGAGCGCAACCCUUGCCUUUAGUUGCCAGCAUUAAGUUGGGCACUCUAGAGGGACUGCCAGGGAUAACCUGGAGGAAGGUGGGGAUGACGUCAAAUCAUCAUGCCCCUUAUGCUUAGGGCUACACACGUGCUACAAUGGGUGGUACAGAGGGCAGCCAAGUCGUGAGGCGGAGCUAAUCCCUUAAAGCCAUUAUCAGUUCGGAUUGUAGGCUGAAACUCGCCUACAUGAAGCUGGAGUUACUAGUAAUCGCAGAUCAGAAUGCUGCGGUGAAUGCGUUCCCGGGUCUUGCACACAGCGCCCGUCAAGGGCGAAUU